Molecule: long non-coding RNA, 519 nt
Organism: Oncorhynchus gorbuscha (pink salmon)
Lineage: Eukaryota; Metazoa; Chordata; Actinopteri; Salmoniformes; Salmonidae
Exons: 3
Source: RefSeq, a predicted model, not a curated record
CACAAGAGCCAGGAGCCACUCAGGCAAAGGUGUCCUGGCGUCCCUCUUAGACAGGGCCAGAUGGGCUGUCUCCUCCAGCGCGUCCCGUGUCUCUUGGCUCUUUAAGCAGACCACUCUCCACAGGAUGAUGGGCUACAGGGCCAACGGCUACGAAGGCAAAGCCCUCUAUUUCCGCUGUCCACCGACACGACUUCUUUCUCAAGCUCUUGGUCUUUGCAUUUCUGUGUCUGUGAAAACAUAUCUGUGAAGGCUGGGCAUAAGGUUAACUGUGCAUGUAUAGUAAUGGUUUGGUGGAUUAUAAUGUAGAGGAAAGCUUCUCUCCACGGUAUGUACAGAUGCUGUUUUCUACUGUAGUUUCACCACAGAUAACUCUAUAUCAGUCUUCAGUCUGUCCAUCUACCUCUGUUCAGUCGUGGCCAAAAGUUUUGAGAAUGACAUGCAUAUUAAUUUUCACAAAGUCUGCUGCCUCAGUUUGUAUGAUGGCAAUUUGCAUAUACUCCAGAAUGUUAUGAAGAGUGA